Molecule: long non-coding RNA, 414 nt
Organism: Centruroides sculpturatus (bark scorpion)
Lineage: Eukaryota; Metazoa; Arthropoda; Arachnida; Scorpiones; Buthidae
Exons: 3
Source: RefSeq, a predicted model, not a curated record
UAUAUUUAAUUAUAUCUACAAAGUAAAAAGGACAUUUGUAAAUUUGCUACAGCUUUCAAUUUAUCCUUCAGUUGUUUUUAUUAAUUAUUAUUACACAUUUAAACACAAUGAGUGUUUUCGUUUUUAUGCUGUUCGCAUUUCUCCUUCAAUUUCAUAGUAUGCAAUCAAUUAGUUUCAAAAUUUGCAAUAUGGAUGAAUUGAGACAAGCAUUAGCAUACUUAUGCCAAGAUUAUUCGUGGAUUAAUAGAGAAAUAAGUGUUCCAGUUCAAUCGGAUGUUAAUGGAAUGUGUUGUUAUUAUCCCUGUACCCACGAAAGUAUAUAUUAUCUUUGUGGAACAUACGGUAAUCAGCAAUGGUAAAUGUUAAGAUGUAAGAAAAGACGAACGGAAUAAAUUAUUAUUAUAAUGAUUCAUA